UACGUAGGUGGCAAGCGUUGUCCGGAUUUACUGGGCGUAAAGGGCGUGCAGGCGGUUUGUUAAGUUCAGGGUGAAAGCUCCCGGUUCAACUGGGAGAGGUCCUUGGAUACUGGCAGACUUGAGGAGGGUAGAGGAGAGUGGAAUUCCACGUGUAGCAGUGAAAUGCGUAGAGAUCCGGAGGAACCCCAGAGGCGAAGGCGGCGUCCUGGCUCGCAUCUGACGCUCAGACACGACAGCAUGGGGAGCAAACAGG
RNAcentral lists this ribosomal RNA (253 nucleotides) under uncultured bacterium. RNAcentral describes it as "partial 16S ribosomal RNA". It matches the Rfam family "Bacterial small subunit ribosomal RNA", at positions 524 to 776 of the family's 1533-position model. The record is from RNAcentral.